This 456-nucleotide ribosomal RNA is filed under the name uncultured organism. RNAcentral's name for it is "partial 16S ribosomal RNA". It matches the Rfam family "Bacterial small subunit ribosomal RNA", at positions 332 to 797 of the family's 1533-position model. The record is from RNAcentral.
UACACUCCUGCGGGAGGCAGCAGUGGGGAAUAUUGCACAAUGGGCGCAAGCCUGAUGCAGCGACGCCGCGUGGGGGAUGAAGGCCUUCGGGUUGUAAACUCCUUUCGCUAGGGACGAAGCUUUUUUGUGACGGUACCUAGAUAAGAAGCACCGGCUAACUACGUGCCAGCAGCCGCGGUAAUACGUAGGGUGCGAGCGUUGUCCGGAAUUACUGGGCGUAAAGGGCUCGUAGGUGGUUUGUCGCGUCGUCUGUGAAAUUCUGGGGCUUAACUCCGGGCGUGCAGGCGAUACGGGCAUAACUUGAGUGCUGUAGGGGUAACUGGAAUUCCUGGUGUAGCGGUGAAAUGCGCAGAUAUCAGGAGGAACACCGAUGGCGAAGGCAGGUUACUGGGCAGUUACUGACGCUGAGGAGCGAAAGCAUGGGUAGCGAACAGGAUUAGAUACCCUUGUAGUCCC